AUGGCUCACCAGGCCGUGGACAGCUGGGCCCAGCAUUUGCGGAGGACCGCAGAGGCCUUGCUCGGGCUCCACCAGCAGGGAGAGGAGCAGAGCUGGCUUCUCUCUCGGCAAGUGGAGGAACUGGUGGAGAAGCGCGAACUCUUGGCGAAAGAGUCUGCCCUUCUGGAGGCAAUCAAGGCGGACCUCAACGCCCGCGAGGAGCGUCUAAAGAUCGCCCAAGGUUCUUCUGCAGAUGAAGCAGCCGAGUGCUCUUCUGCUGCGGCCACAAGGGCCAGCCUCCAACAAGUGCUAGUGGCCGCCCUGGUUGCGCAGAAGAAGAGCGAGGCCCCACUGGCCCGGGUGGAAGAGCUUCAGCACCGAGCAGGAAGAGGCUCUGAGGGAGAAAGAGCGUUUCUUGGCGGAGUCAAACGAGCGGACGCUUGCCGACCAACAGGCCCUGGGCCAGGCUGGAGAGAGGAUUCGCGAGCUCGAGGACACCGUGACCGCCUUGCGGCAACGGUCUUCCGAGCUCGAGAAAGCUGUGAACACCGGCGCAGCCUGCCGCGUAGCCGCGACCCAAGUGGCCAAAGAGUGCGAAGAUGCCCUGUCGGCCCUGCUGGCCUACGCGCAGGGCCAACUUCAGACUGUUUUCGGAGAGCUGACGACUGUCGGGGCGUCUGUCAGUGA
RNAcentral lists this ribosomal RNA (666 nucleotides) under Triticum aestivum (bread wheat). RNAcentral describes it as "partial small subunit ribosomal RNA". Lineage: Eukaryota; Viridiplantae; Streptophyta; Magnoliopsida; Poales; Poaceae. The record is from RNAcentral.